UAAGCGGAGGAAAAGAAACUAACAAGGAUUCCCNUAGUAACUGCGAGUGAAGCGGGAAAAGCUCAAAUUUAAAAUCUGGUGGUCUUUGGCCAUCCGAGUUGUAAUUUAGAGAAGUGUCUUCCGCGCUGGACCGUGCACAAGUCUCCUGGAAUGGAGCGUCAUAGAGGGUGAGAAUCCCGUCUUUGGCAUGGACACACCAGGGCUUUUGUGAUGCGCUCUCGAAGAGUCGAGUUGUUUGGGAAUGCAGCUCAAAAUGGGUGGUGAACUCCAUCUAAAGCUAAAUAUUGGCGAGAGACCGAUAGCGAACAAGUACCGUGAGGGAAAGAUGAAAAGCACUUUGGAAAGAGAGUGAAACAGUACGUGAAAUUGUUGAAAGGGAAACGCUUGAAGUCAGUCACGUCGACCGAGACUCAGCCUUGCCUCGGCUUGGUGUACUUCUCGGCUGACGGGUCAGCAUCAAUUUUGCCCCUUGGAUAAUGGCGAGGGAAAUGUGACACCUUUAUGGUGUGUUAUAGUCUCUCGUCGCAUGCAAGGGUUGGGAUUGAGGAACUCAGCACGCGCCUUUUGGUGUCGGGGCUUUGCCCACGAUACGUGCUUAGGAUGUUGGCAUAAUGGCUUUAAACGACC
Molecule: ribosomal RNA, 627 nt
Filed under: uncultured Russulaceae
Lineage: Eukaryota; Fungi; Basidiomycota; Agaricomycetes; Russulales; Russulaceae
Description: LSU rRNA
Rfam family: Eukaryotic large subunit ribosomal RNA
Source: RNAcentral